RNAcentral lists this ribosomal RNA (253 nucleotides) under uncultured bacterium. Its description in RNAcentral is "partial 16S ribosomal RNA". It matches the Rfam family "Bacterial small subunit ribosomal RNA", at positions 524 to 776 of the family's 1533-position model. The record is from RNAcentral.
UACGUAGGGACCGAGCGUUGUCCGGAAUCAUUGGGCGUAAAGAGCGUGUAGGCGGCUAGGUAGGUGGGUUGUGAAAACUGGAGGCUCAACCUUCAGACGUCGACCCAAACCCCCUGGCUAGAGUCCGGAAGAGGAGAGUGGAAUUCCUGGUGUAGCGGUGAAAUGCGCAGAUAUCAGGAAGAACACCCGUGGCGAAGGCGGCUCUCUGGGACGGUACUGACGCUGAGACGCGAAAGCGUGGGGAGCGAACAGG